AAGCGGCAACAGCUCAAAUUUGAAAUCUGGCUUCGGCCCGAGUUGUAAUUUGCAGAGGAUGUUUAUGGUGCGGUACUUUCCGAGUUCCCUGGAACGGGACGCCACAGAGGGUGAGAGCCCCGUCUGGAUGGAUACCAAACCUGUGUUAAACUCCUUCAACGAGUCGAGUAGUUUGGGAAUGCUGCUCUAAAUGGGAGGUAAAUCUCUUCUAAAGCUAAAUAUAGGCCAGAGACCGAUAGCGCACAAGUAGAGUGAUCGAAAGAUGAAAAGCACCUUGAAAAGGGGGUUAAACAGUACGUGAAAUUGUUGAAAGGGAAGCGUUUAUGACCAGACUUGUGUCGUGUGGCUCAUCCGAGGUUCUCCCCGGUGCACUCCACACGGCUCAGGCCAACAUCGGUUUUUGUCGAAGGAUAAGAAUAGUAGGAACGUAGCUCUUCCUCGGAAGAGUGUUAUAGCCUAUUAUACGAUACUUUGAUAGAGACCGAGGACCG
RNAcentral lists this ribosomal RNA (491 nucleotides) under Apiognomonia errabunda. Its description in RNAcentral is "eukaryotic LSU rRNA". It matches the Rfam family "Eukaryotic large subunit ribosomal RNA", at positions 96 to 599 of the family's 3401-position model. Lineage: Eukaryota; Fungi; Ascomycota; Sordariomycetes; Diaporthales; Gnomoniaceae. The record is from RNAcentral.